GGCAGGCCUAACACAUGCAAGUCGAGCGGAAACGAGUUAUCUGAACCUUCGGGGAACGAUAACGGCGUCGAGCGGCGGACGGGUGAGUAAUGCCUAGGAAAUUGCCCUGAUGUGGGGGAUAACCAUUGGAAACGAUGGCUAAUACCGCAUGAUGCCUACGGGCCAAAGAGGGGGACCUUCGGGCCUCUCGCGUCAGGAUAUGCCUAGGUGGGAUUAGCUAGUUGGUGAGGUAAGGGCUCACCAAGGCGACGAUCCCUAGCUGGUCUGAGAGGAUGAUCAGCCACACUGGAACUGAGACACGGUCCAGACUCCUACGGGAGGCAGCAGUGGGGAAUAUUGCACAAUGGGCGCAAGCCUGAUGCAGCCAUGCCGCGUGUGUGAAGAAGGCCUUCGGGUUGUAAAGCACUUUCAGUCGUGAGGAAGGUAGUGUAGUUAAUAGCUGCAUCAUUUGACGUUAGCGACAGAAGAAGCACCGGCUAACUCC
Molecule: ribosomal RNA, 484 nt
Filed under: Vibrio sp. 6-72
Lineage: Bacteria; Pseudomonadati; Pseudomonadota; Gammaproteobacteria; Vibrionales; Vibrionaceae
Description: bacterial SSU rRNA
Rfam family: Bacterial small subunit ribosomal RNA
Source: RNAcentral